Molecule: ribosomal RNA, 324 nt
Filed under: uncultured eukaryote
Lineage: Eukaryota
Description: partial 18S ribosomal RNA
Rfam family: Eukaryotic small subunit ribosomal RNA
Source: RNAcentral
CCCUUAGAUGUUCUGGGCCACACGCGCGCUACACUGAUGCAUUCAACGAGUUUCUUCCUGGUCCGAGAGGAAUGGGUAACCUUUUGAAAGUGCAUCGUGAUAGGGAUAGACUAUUGCAAUUAUUGGUCUUCAACGAGGAAUUCCUAGUAGACGUAGUUCAUCAGACUGCAUCGAUUACGUCCCUGCCCUUUGUACACACCGCCCGUCGCUCCUACCGAUUGAAUGCUCAGGUGAGCCAUUCGGACUUUCAUCAUGCUGGUUUCCAGUUUUGAUGAAGGAAAGUCUUGCGAACCUUAUCAUUUAGAGGAAGGAGAAGUCGUAACA